UGUAGCACGUGUCGACGCGGUACGGUAAAGGAGAAAGUUGAGUCCGGCAGGUGCGGAGCGGGAGCGAAAGCGAGCUCUAACUGACCGAUCCUUGUAUGGACGUAGACCCGAUGCCGGUCGACCUAAACAUCAGCGGGAUGUAGUGAAAGUAAAAUUUUGUGGAGGUCCGAAACAGGGCGCGUUGAAAAGCUCGGGGAUGUCUUGUGGGUAGCGGUGAAAUUCUAGUCGAGCCCGUAGAUCGCUGGUUCUCCCCGAAAUAGCUUUAGGGCUAGCCUCAAGGUGAGGGAUACGGAGGUAGAGCACUGACUGUCCUCGGGGGUAUUGCACCUACCGAAGACUAUCAAACUCCGCAUGCCGUCAUCUUAUACUUGGGAGGCAGACUGUGGGUGAUAAGAUUAAUAGUCGAAAGGGCAAGAGCCACGACCG
Molecule: ribosomal RNA, 426 nt
Filed under: Clostridioides difficile
Lineage: Bacteria; Bacillati; Bacillota; Clostridia; Peptostreptococcales; Peptostreptococcaceae
Description: bacterial LSU rRNA
Rfam family: Bacterial large subunit ribosomal RNA
Source: RNAcentral